GAUGAACGCUGGCGGCGUGCCUAAUACAUGCAAGUCGAGCGAACGGACGAGAAGCUUGCUUCUCUGAUGUUAGCGGCGGACGGGUGAGUAACACGUGGAUAACCUACCUAUAGGACUGGGAUAACUUCGGGAAACCGGAGCUAAUACCGGAUAAUAUUAUGAACCGCAUGGUUCAAAAGUGAAAGACGGUCUUGCUGUCACUUAUAGAUGGAUCCGCGCUGCAUUAGCUAGUUGGUAAGGUAACGGCUUACCAAGGCAACGAUGCAUAGCCGACCUGAGAGGGUGAUCGGCCACACUGGAACUGAGACACGGUCCAGACUCCUACGGGAGGCAGCAGUAGGGAAUCGUCCGCAAUGGGCGAAAGCCUGACGGAGCAACGCCGCGUGAGUGAUGAAGGUCUUCGGAUCGUAAAACUCUGUUAUUAGGGAAGAACAUAUGUGUAAGUAACUGUGCACAUCUUGACGGUACCUAAUCAGAAAGCCACGGCUAACUACGUG
This 497-nucleotide ribosomal RNA is filed under the name uncultured bacterium. Its description in RNAcentral is "partial 16S ribosomal RNA". It matches the Rfam family "Bacterial small subunit ribosomal RNA", at positions 28 to 507 of the family's 1533-position model. The record is from RNAcentral.